This 464-nucleotide ribosomal RNA is filed under the name uncultured bacterium. RNAcentral describes it as "partial 16S ribosomal RNA". It matches the Rfam family "Bacterial small subunit ribosomal RNA", at positions 339 to 795 of the family's 1533-position model. The record is from RNAcentral.
CUACUGGGGGCUGCAGUGGGGAAUUUUGGACAAUGGGGGAAACCCUGAUCCAGCCAUGCCGCGUGAGUGAAGAAGGCCUUCGGGUUGUAAAGCUCUUUCGGCUGGGAAGAAAUCGCACAGGCUAAUACUCUGUGUGGAUGACGGUACCAGCAUAAGAAGCACCGGCUAACUACGUGCCAGCAGCCGCGGUAAUACGUAGGGUGCGAGCGUUAAUCGGAAUUACUGGGCGUAAAGCGUGCGCAGGCGGUUGUGCAAGACAGAUGUGAAAUCCCCGGGCUCAACCUGGGAACUGCAUUUGUGACUGCACGACUAGAGUACGGCAGAGGGGGGUAGAAUUCCACGUGUAGCAGUGAAAUGCGUAGAGAUGUGGAGGAAUACCGAUGGCGAAGGCAGCCCCCUGGGCCGAUACUGACGCUCAUGCACGAAAGCGUGGGGAGCAAACAGGAUUAGAUACCCCCGUAGUC